GUUGUGGAUCUAUCUAUCAAUCAAUCAAUCAAUGAUGAUGAUGAUGAUGACGACGACGACGAUGUUCGAGACAAAAACGGAACGUUUCUCUUUUGGAAAUUUUCUCGCAAUCAACAAAUCCGGAAUUCCUUUUCUUGAAAAACCCAUGUUUAUGAAUAUGAUAUCUGUUUUUUUGCAUUGGAUCAUAUAUGUUGUUGGAUCACAUACCAUGGCCAAAGAUGAAAAGAAAAUCAUGCAAACAAUGGAUCGUAUACAACAUUCAAAGGCCAUCAAUCAAUCAAUCAACAGGAAAAAAGGCGUUUACCACCUGGUUUUCAAAUGAUAAUACCGGCUAAUGAUUAUGGUAAUGAUACCAUCCAAUAUAUCAAACACAAACACACGGUGUGAGGUUUUUAUUCAUCAAAAAAAAGCCAAAUCAUCUAAAAUGUGACGUGAUAUUGGCUUUGUGCCAUUGAAGGAUUUCCUUUGAUUUCGUUUUUUUUUCUCAUCAUCAUUAUCAUCAUCAUCAUCUGAGAAGAAAAUACUGAAAGGAAAGAAAUCCAAUCAUAUAUGAGUUCAAUACAUAAUCAACUUUCUCAUCGUUGAUUAGAUCCAAGAUGAUUGAAUUAUUUCAUCGACGACAACAACAAGAUUUGUUUGAUCAUCACAAAUAGAAGACAAUUUC
Dermatophagoides farinae (American house dust mite) is the source of this 664-nucleotide non-coding RNA. The record is from RefSeq and is a predicted model, not a curated record. Lineage: Eukaryota; Metazoa; Arthropoda; Arachnida; Sarcoptiformes; Pyroglyphidae.